CAAGUCGAGGGGCAUCAGUUUGGUUUGCUUGCAAACCAAAGCUGGCGACCGGCGCACGGGUGAGUAACACGUAUCCAACCUGCCUCAUACUCGGGGAUAGCCUUUCGAAAGAAAGAUUAAUACCGGAUGGCAUACGAAUAUCGCAUGAUAUUUUUAUUAAAGAAUUUCGGUUAUCGAUGGGGAUGCGUUCCAUUAGUUUGUUGGCGGGGUAACGGCCCACCAAGGCAACGAUGGGUAGGGGUUCUGAGAGGAAGGUCCCCACAUUGGAACUGAGACACGGUCCAAACUCC
RNAcentral lists this ribosomal RNA (290 nucleotides) under uncultured Bacteroides sp. RNAcentral describes it as "partial 16S ribosomal RNA". It matches the Rfam family "Bacterial small subunit ribosomal RNA", at positions 58 to 339 of the family's 1533-position model. The record is from RNAcentral. Lineage: Bacteria; Pseudomonadati; Bacteroidota; Bacteroidia; Bacteroidales; Bacteroidaceae.